GGGGAAUUUUCCGCAAUGGGCGAAAGCCUGACGGAGCAAUACCGCGUGAGGGAGGAAUGCCUUUGGGUUGUAAACCUCUUUUCUCAGGGAAGAAGAUCUGACGGUACCUGAGGACUAAGUAUCGGCUAACUCCGUGCCAGCAGCCGCGGUAAUACGGAGGAUGCAAGCGUUAUCCGGAAUCAUUGGGCGUAAAGCGUCCGCAGGUGGUUUCCAAAGUCUGCUGUUAAAGACUGGAGCUCAACUCCGGAACGGCGGUGGAAACUUGGAAACUAGAGUUCGGUAGGGGUAGCAGGAAUUCCCAGUGUAGCGGUGAAAUGCGUAGAUAUUGGGAAGAACAUCGGUGGCGAAGGCGUGCUACUGGACCGUAACUGACACUCAGGGACGAAAGCUAGGGGAGCGAAAGGGAUUAGAUACCCCUGUAGUCCUAGCUGUAAACGAUGGAAACUAGGUGUGGCUUG
Molecule: ribosomal RNA, 458 nt
Filed under: uncultured marine microorganism
Description: bacterial SSU rRNA
Rfam family: Bacterial small subunit ribosomal RNA
Source: RNAcentral